This is a long non-coding RNA of Rhipicephalus sanguineus (brown dog tick), 862 nucleotides long. RefSeq lists it as uncharacterized. The record is from RefSeq and is a predicted model, not a curated record. NCBI's taxonomy places the organism in Eukaryota, Metazoa, Arthropoda, Arachnida, Ixodida, Ixodidae. The transcript has 2 exons.
GGGAAGGUGACAGCAACACCGGCACAAUGCUUAAUCGCUGUCUGUUCCUUGUGUAGUUUUGCGCUGGCCUGGCAGCUCCCUUGGUAGCCACAUCUUCGACGGUUUUUAAUGCUUUACCGGUUGCUGAUCGACACGUGCAAGCUUCGGCUUGCGUGCGCACCGAAUGCCCUGUCCUUCUCUCGGAGCAAAGCCAUGGUGCGCUUGUCAGCAUGCCGGCAGCCAUCUUCGGUGACAACACCUAUGACUGCGUACUUCUGGAAACGCCCACCGAUGUGACGUCGGUGGUCAAGGGGAUAAAAGCGCCGCCGAAGCUGCAUCGCUUCAGUGGGGAAGGUGACAGCAGCACCGGCACAAUGCUUAAUCGCUAUCUGUGCCUUGUGCAGGUAUGUUACCUCAGCAUUGCCUAUUGCCUCUGUUCUGACGAUCGAUGUUUGCUGCUGAUACCUUGCCCCCACAUUUGCUCAUUUAUGCUUACUUCAUCAUAUGCUGACAUUGUGCAUGCUCUGUGUAGUCUCUUACUAAGCGGCGAUGUGGAGUUAAACCCGGGACCUUCGCAAAGGCUAACUCGGGCUAACUUGCCUAACUCAGGGCUUACAUCGCGAACAGGUUCUCCUACUCGACCGGAAUCUAAUAAUCCAUCAAGUUCUGAUCCUGACAAUGAAUGCUCGGUUUCAGAAAUGUUUUUUUCAAAUUCUAUCUGGUCAGAAGAAAAUAGAGCAAGAUGUCGCGGAAUUGCGCAACUCUGUCAACGCCCGGUUUGAGGCUAUCGAAACGCGCUUAGCUGUUCUAGAGAAGACGUCACCUUCUCACAAUGGUGCACUUAACGACGAACUGCGUUGCCAAAUUGAGAAGUUGUCUUCUA